CAGGACAGGGCACCUCUGUGUGGUUUUGAAGCUUCCACUCACCUCUCCUCAGACACAUUCCUCUUCUGAGGAAAAUGAGCUGCGUAGAACUAGGAGGCCUGGACAGUUUCCAAACACCAACUCUGAAACUGUGUUACUUUGUCCUUGGAAGAGGGUGGCUGGGGCAGCUCCAGAGGAGAGGGCACAAAGGAGCCUGAUACUGCAUGGAGGGGCCUGGGCUUUAUAGAACCCUGUGCAUUGAGCAUUGCCAGUUACCCCUCCUCCUACUCUUUGGAAAAGUCUAAGAAAGCUUGUGUCUGGGAUUUGGGAACAAUGUGUGUGAACGAGGGCGAGUUUUGAGAAGAGAAAUAGAGAAAAACAAGACAUCAACUUGGGCCCUGGAAGCAGCCAACAGUAGUGACUAUGCAUCUCUCGGAUGCUAGCAGGCCAAGUCACCCACCCCUGGAAAGGAUGCCAGGCAAGAUUGAUGGGCAUAACCUGGAGAAGGGCAAGCAGAGCCUGGGGACUCUCCAUGGAUAAGCCACCAGCCAACAAGCCCGGGCUUGCCACAUACUCAGCCUUCUGUGUUGACAAUCACAUGAGAAUGAGUCACCAGUUUUCCCAGAAGCAGGAGAGGGGUGCGGCGGAGCCCCGCCCUGCCUGCAAAUGCCAUCUUGCAGAGGCAGGGGAAAAUUUCUAUCUGGAUUCCUCCCUUGUCGUCAAGGGAGCCUGUUGUCACAGGGUGGUUUGUUUGGGGUGUGGGCGGUUGGCCUGGGAGGAGACUUCCUGGCAGUAAUUCUGCCCGAUGAGACGCUUUCUACCACCUACCCCAGGGGCGGGCCUUGAACCAAUAGGUGCCCCAUGGGGGUCUUCUCGGCCUCCUCCUCACCCUGGCCCCAUAUGGUAAUGGAAGGCCGAUUAUUCUUUUCAAAACCCUCACAAAAUCCUUAGCCCUGCCAGCCUUUUGACCAGGUUGCUUUUGGCAGGCUGGCAUCCAUGCCUUGUAGGCAGUCAGCCCGAUACCUCCAGAAGCCACUAGACCCACUCCUUGGGGCCCAUCACAAGCCACAAGCUGUCCCGGACCAGUGCUGAGGUUUUUGGUUUGUUUGUUUGAAUCACUUUUCUCCCCCCACUCCUCACCCCAAAAGCAAAGUGAGUUUUAAACCUACACCUAUCUGGUCUCGGGCCCUACAAUUGCCCAUAUUGUUUUCCGCAUAAACUUUUGCCAUUAAUACGCCACUCACUCAUCUCGCUAAA
Long non-coding RNA from Marmota flaviventris (yellow-bellied marmot), 1236 nucleotides. RefSeq lists it as uncharacterized. The record is from RefSeq and is a predicted model, not a curated record. Lineage: Eukaryota; Metazoa; Chordata; Mammalia; Rodentia; Sciuridae.